RNAcentral lists this long non-coding RNA (1115 nucleotides) under Pelobates cultripes (western spadefoot toad). The record is from RNAcentral. Lineage: Eukaryota; Metazoa; Chordata; Amphibia; Anura; Pelobatidae.
GUCAGUCUGUCUAUCAGUCAGUCAGUGUGUCAGUCAGUCAGUCUGUCUAUCAGUCAGUGUGUCAGUCAGUCAGUAUAUCAGUCAGUGUGUCAGUCAGUCAGUGAGUCAGUCAGUCUAUCAGUCAGUCAGUCUAUCAGUCAGUCAGUGUGUCAGUCAGUCAGUAUAUCAGUCAGUGUGUCAGUCCGGGCCCAUCAGUCAUCAGUGUGUCAGUCAGUCAGUAUAUCAGCCGCGUGUCGUCAUCAGUCCAUCAGUCAGUGUCAGCCUCGUCUAUCAGUCAGUGUGUCAAGCUCGCCCAUCGCCGUCAGUAUCAGUCAGUGUGUCAGUCAGUCCAUCAGUCAACAGUGUGUCAGUCAGUCAGUCUAUCAGUCAGUCUAUCAGUCAGCCGUCAGUCAGUCAGUCUAUCAGUCAGUCAGGCACAGCCGCGUCAGUCAGUCAGCCCAUCAAUGCGUGUCAGCCGGGGCCAGUCUAUCAGUCAGUCAGUCAGUCAGUCAGUGUGUCAGCCGUCUAUCAGUCAGUCUAUCAGUCAGUCAGUCAGUCAGUCAGUCUAUCAGUCAGUCAGUCUAUCAGUCAGUGUGUCAGUCAGUCAGUCUAUCAGUCAGUCAGUCAGUCAGUGUGUCAGUCAGUCUAGUCAGUCUAUCAGUCAGUCAGUCAGUCAGUAUAUCAGUCAGUCUAUCAGUCAGUCAGUCUAUCAGUCAGUCAGUCAGUAUAUCAGUCAGUGUGUCAGUCAGUCAGUCAGUCUAUCAGUCAGUGUGUCAGUCUAUCAGUCAGUCAGUGUGUAAGUCAGUCAGUGUGUCAGUCAGUCAGUAUAUCAGUCAGUCAGUAUAUCAGUCAGUCAGUGUGUCAGUCAGUCAGUAUAUCAGUCAGUCUAUCAGUCAGUCAGUGUGUCAGUCAGUCAGUGUGUCAGUCAGUCUAUCAGUCAGUCAGUGUGUCAAUCAGUCAGUAUAUCAGUCAGUGUGUCAGUCAGUGUGUCAGUCAGUCAGUAUAUCAGUCAGUCAGUGUGUCAGUCAGUCAGUGUGUCAGUCAGUCAGUCAGUGUGUCAGUCAGUCAGUCAGUCUAUCAGUCAGUGUGUCAGUCAGUCAGUCAGUCAGUCUAUCAGUCAGUGUGUCAGUCAGUCU